CAUGGAUGUUAGCUCAGGGCCAGUCUUCCUCAGCAAAAAGAGGAGGGUUGGUGGCAGAUGUUAGCUCAGGGCUAAUCUUCCUUAAAAAAAAACACCUGGUAAGAAUGAAAGCUAACUCAAAGAAUUGUGGAGAAAGAUCAAAUAACCAUGCAUGCCUCAACGGCUUGUGAUCUGGUCUGUGAGCUUGGGAGGCAGAAGGCCACCAUUUGUAUUCUGACCUCAUGGUUUACAAGCUGCAUGAACUUGAGCAAGUUUCUGAGCCUCAGUUACGUCAUCCGUAAAAUGAAAAUAGUACUAGCAUAUUCUCCAGGGCAGUGGUGUGGAACUUAAAUGAAAGGACGGUGCGCCUGGCAAGUUUGGGGGAUUACAAACAAUGUGGCUCUGAACAUCCUGUUAACUGUCUCCUCCCAGCCACGUACAGGUUUCCACCGGAGUUUGGGCACAGCAAGCCAACCUUUACCAAGUGCUAACCGUGUGCCAGGCGCGGUGUUAAAUGUUUUCCAAGUGUGCCUUCAUUUAAUCCUCAACACAAGAAAAUGAAUUUGGAAUUAUUAUCAUCCCCAUUUUACAGCUGCGGAAAUUGAGGCUUAGAGAGACUAAAUAACUCGCUUAAAAUAUCACUCCAGGCCAGAUGUGCUGACUCCCAAGCGUCAGUGCCGACCUGUUCCCAGGCCCUGUCUGGAGAUUGAGACGCGUCUUGAAGUGACUUCAGGCCCCUCUUCUCAGACUCUCGGAUUUUUUUUCUGGCUUCUCACUCCUAUCCACGGCAUGUGAUGAACAUUCUUGUAGGAAGAUCUUUGCCUACAUCGUGAUGGCUUCUUCGGGAUCAAUUCCUUGACAUGGAUGACGCGAUGUUUGGGGCUGUUUUUUUUGGAAAUGAGGAGAAACAGAGGACCCCAGCCCAGCUGGAGGCUGGACACGAGGGAGAGGCAGGCAACCCUCCGGGAAGUGGGCGCGACUGGAAAGCCAGGAUGCCUGACUAAUCCACAGAGCACGCCGCCUCGGUUUAUCUGAGCACUGCUUUCCUGUGCCCCUCGGGCUCGCCCAGAAGCCCUUAGGAAUCUAGUUUAUUUCCAUCCUGGUUUUGCUGACUUGACUGAAGUUCUUGCUCUGUGGAUCGGCUGCAAGACACAGGCUCUCUCACACACACGCACGUGCACACUGACCUCCAGAAAUCAAGCAUG
This 1184-nucleotide long non-coding RNA is filed under the name Equus caballus (horse). RNAcentral describes it as "lncRNA (ENSECAG00000053190.1)". Lineage: Eukaryota; Metazoa; Chordata; Mammalia; Perissodactyla; Equidae. The record is from RNAcentral.